Long non-coding RNA from Arachis duranensis, 493 nucleotides. RefSeq lists it as uncharacterized. The record is from RefSeq and is a predicted model, not a curated record. The transcript has 2 exons. NCBI's taxonomy places the organism in Eukaryota, Viridiplantae, Streptophyta, Magnoliopsida, Fabales, Fabaceae.
AAGUAGUACAGGUAUAGUUGAAAUUUAAUAGUACACGCCUUGUACUACAAAGUACAAUUUAUUCCCGUACAUAUAGAAUGAUCACCAUUGGAUCUUAUUGCAUCAUUCUUUCACUCACAAAUGAAAUAGUUGAGGCACCCUUGUAGAGGAACCUGCUUAUUGUUAGGGAUCUGUUGACAAUAAGGUCAACGAUGAGAGGCAGAGAAAAGAGAAGGGUGGCAAGGGGAGAGAGGGAGAGCGAGAGAGGCGAAGAGUGCUAGAAGCAAGUGGCAGCGAUUGAGGAUGUGCAAAAAGCAGAGGUCCAAAGAGAUCGAGAGAGUUAGAGAGGGAAAGAUUGAGAAUGGAGACAGAAGGAGGAAAAUCGCAGAGGUCUAGAUCUGUGUGAUGAGGAAGAAGGCAGAACAGAGACACAUCGAAUUUAUACAGUUGUCUUUACCUGAAAUUUCUAAUUAAAAUUUUUUUAGAUAAUUUAAUAUAUUUAACUAAAUUAUUA